GACGUAGGGGGCGAGCGUUGUCCGGAUUUAUUGGGCGUAAAGCGCGCGUAGGCGGCUCGUUAAGUCGGGGGUGAAAACCCGGAGCUCAACUCCGGGCCUGCCUCCGAUACUGGCGGGCUGGAGGCAGGUAGGGGAGAGUGGAAUUCCUGGUGUAGCGGUGAAAUGCGCAGAUAUCAGGAGGAACACCGGUGGCGAAGGCGGCUCUCUGGGCCACACCUGACGCUGAGACGCGAAAGCGUGGGGAGCAAACGGG
Molecule: ribosomal RNA, 253 nt
Filed under: uncultured bacterium
Lineage: Bacteria
Description: partial 16S ribosomal RNA
Rfam family: Bacterial small subunit ribosomal RNA
Source: RNAcentral